This 76-nucleotide transfer RNA is filed under the name Candidatus Epulonipiscium sp. RNAcentral's name for it is "tRNA-Lys". It matches the Rfam family "tRNA". From Rfam's summary of the family: Transfer RNA (tRNA) molecules are approximately 80 nucleotides in length. Their secondary structure includes four short double-helical elements and three loops (D, anti-codon, and T loops). Lineage: Bacteria; Bacillati; Bacillota; Clostridia; Lachnospirales; Lachnospiraceae. The record is from RNAcentral.
GCGCCUUUGGCUCAGUUGGUAGAGCAACUGACUCUUAAUCAGUGGGUCCAGGGUUCGAGUCCCUGAAGGCGCACCA